GCUCAGGAUGAACGCUGGCGGCGUGCCUAACACAUGCAAGUCGAGCGAGGGUUUGCUCAGUAUUGAGUAUUCUAAGUCUAGAAUGUUCAAUUCUGAGCAAAACCAAGCGGCGGACGGGUGAGUAACGCGUGGGUAACCUGCCCUAUACACAUGGAUAACAUACUGAAAAGUUUACUAAUACAUGAUAAUAUAUAUUUGCGGCAUCGCAGAUAUAUCAAAGUGUUAGCGGUAUAGGAUGGACCCGCGUCUGAUUAGCUAGUUGGUGAGAUAACUGCCCACCAAGGCGACGAUCAGUAGCCGACCUGAGAGGGUGAUCGGCCACAUUGGAACUGAGACACGGUCCAAACUCCUACGGGAGGCAGCAGUA
RNAcentral lists this ribosomal RNA (367 nucleotides) under uncultured bacterium. RNAcentral's name for it is "bacterial SSU rRNA". It matches the Rfam family "Bacterial small subunit ribosomal RNA", at positions 22 to 356 of the family's 1533-position model. The record is from RNAcentral.